GGUCCUUUGCUCUAAAUGGUAACGGGGACGCGCUUAGAACGCGUUUAUUGUGAGUUCAAGUCUCACAAGGAUCA
This 74-nucleotide transfer RNA is filed under the name Goniomonas avonlea. Its description in RNAcentral is "tRNA-Leu". It matches the Rfam family "tRNA". Rfam says of the family: Transfer RNA (tRNA) molecules are approximately 80 nucleotides in length. Their secondary structure includes four short double-helical elements and three loops (D, anti-codon, and T loops). Lineage: Eukaryota; Cryptophyceae; Goniomonadida; Goniomonadaceae. The record is from RNAcentral.